RNAcentral lists this ribosomal RNA (428 nucleotides) under uncultured prokaryote. Its description in RNAcentral is "bacterial SSU rRNA". It matches the Rfam family "Archaeal small subunit ribosomal RNA", at positions 52 to 487 of the family's 1478-position model. The record is from RNAcentral.
UGCGAGUCUAUGGACUUCGGUCCAUGGCGGACGGCUCAGUAACACGUGGUUAACCUACCCUUAGGUGGGGGAUAACCUUGGGAAACUGAGGAUAAUACCCCAUAGGAAAAGAGGUUUGGAAUAAUCCUUUUCUGAAAGGACAUCCGCCUAAGGAUGGACUGCGUCUGAUUAGGUAGUUGGUGGGGUAAUGGCCCACCAAGCCUACGAUCAGUACGGGCCUUGAGAGAGGGAGCCCGGAGAUGGGGACUGAGACACGGCCCCAGGCCCUACGGGGCGCAGCAGGCGCGAAACCUCCACAAUGCACGAAAGUGCGAUGGGGGAAUCCCAAGUGCCUAUGUAAAACAUAGGCUUUUCCCAAGUUUAAACAACUUGGGGAAUAAGGGCUNGGCAAGUCCGGUGCCAGCCGCGGUAACACCGGCGGCCCAGUG